RNAcentral lists this ribosomal RNA (556 nucleotides) under Diaporthe endophytica. RNAcentral describes it as "partial small subunit ribosomal RNA". Lineage: Eukaryota; Fungi; Ascomycota; Sordariomycetes; Diaporthales; Diaporthaceae. The record is from RNAcentral.
ACAUUAGAUUAAUGUAUACUAAAUAACGAUCAUUAUACCUGGGUAGGGGAUCCCCUUUUAAAGGGGGGAAGAAANAAGAACGAUAAGGGAGAAAAAAGAGACCCUUUUAAGAGGAANUAUUGAUAUUAAAAGAAUAAAACAGUAAUGAUAUAAUUUGUAUACUGGGAUCUAAAUGCAAUCACGCUCUUAUUCUCUCACGGUUAGUUUGUGAUAUGGAAAUUCGUUAUAAUGAUCUUUGUCUUUAGUAUACUAAAUGACUCACUAUCGUCAAUCAGCGCAAUACAUGUAAAGAUCCAAUGGGAUUUAAUGGUCAUUAAAGAUUAAUGCUGUGAGUUGAGUCUGUGUGUUGUAGCGACAUGACAAUCAAUUCAUAUUUUUAGUAAGUAAAUCGUACUAGAUACUCAUAUAUGUUACCUGUCUUUAUUAUAUUUUCAUCUGGUUGUAACGAUAAAGCUAUUGAUUUUUUUUUGUGCGAUAAGUCAUAACAGUAUUUGAGUUAAAGUUGUAAACUCUAUCGCGACUACAGCCUGACGAUGUAGUUAUUUUAACUAUAAUA